RNAcentral lists this ribosomal RNA (253 nucleotides) under uncultured bacterium. RNAcentral describes it as "partial 16S ribosomal RNA". It matches the Rfam family "Bacterial small subunit ribosomal RNA", at positions 524 to 776 of the family's 1533-position model. The record is from RNAcentral.
UACGUAGGUGGCAAGCGUUGUCCGGAUUUACUGGGCGUAAAGGGCGUGCAGGCGGUCUGUUAAGUUCAGGGUGAAAGCUCCCGGCUCAACUGGGAGAGGUCCUUGGAUACUGGCAGACUUGAGGGAGGUAGAGGAGAGUGGAAUUCCCGGUGUAGUGGUGAUAUGCGUAGAGAUCUGGAAGAACACCAAUGGCGAAGGCAGCGUCCUGGGAAGCGACUGACGCUCAUGUGCGAAAGCUAGGGGAGCGAACGGG